GCAGCCGCGGUAAUACGGAAGGUUCGGGCGUUAUCCGGAUUUAUUGGGUUUAAAGGGAGCGUAGGCCGGAGAUUAAGUGUGUUGUGAAAUGUAGACGCUCAACGUCUGACUUGCAGCGCAUACUGGUUUCCUUGAGUACGCACAACGUUGGCGGAAUUCGUCGUGUAGCGGUGAAAUGCUUAGAUAUGACGAAGAACUCCGAUUGCGAAGGCAGCUGACGGGAGCGCAACUGACGCUGAAGCUCGAAGGUGCGGGUAUCGAACAGGAUUAGAUACCCUGGUAGUCCGCACAGUAAACGAUGGAUGCCCGCUGUUGGUACCUGGUAUCAGCGGCUAAGCGAAAGCAUUAAGCAUCCCACCUGGGGAGUACGCCGGCAACGGUGAAACUCAAAGGAAUUGACGGGGGCCCGCACAAGCGGAGGAACAUGUGGUUUAAUUCGAUGAUACGCGAGGAACCUUACCCGGGCUUGAA
This 471-nucleotide ribosomal RNA is filed under the name uncultured bacterium. RNAcentral's name for it is "bacterial SSU rRNA". It matches the Rfam family "Bacterial small subunit ribosomal RNA", at positions 511 to 985 of the family's 1533-position model. The record is from RNAcentral.